CUGAGCUGCAGUUAUCCAGCACCUGCUUGUACCUUCUUCCAAUUGAGUCCUACUUCAUAUAGCACAACAAAGGUGGUUACCUCUCCAUAUUGAUCUGAGUCUGCUUUCACACUGGUUUAAAACCAAGGAAACACCAUUCAUUUCACUUGGACUUUACACAUGCGGAAAGGUGACAAGCCUUAACAGGACUCCACAUAAAAUGGUCGAG
This is a long non-coding RNA of Malaclemys terrapin pileata, 208 nucleotides long. RefSeq lists it as uncharacterized. The transcript is spliced from 3 exons. NCBI's taxonomy places the organism in Eukaryota, Metazoa, Chordata, Testudines, Emydidae. The record is from RefSeq and is a predicted model, not a curated record.